RNAcentral lists this long non-coding RNA (308 nucleotides) under Oryzias javanicus (javanese ricefish). Its description in RNAcentral is "lncRNA (ENSOJAG00000006264.1)". Lineage: Eukaryota; Metazoa; Chordata; Actinopteri; Beloniformes; Adrianichthyidae. The record is from RNAcentral.
GGCACAUCCUGAUGCUGCGAUCGAUUAGUUUGGUCUGGACAGAUUCCAGCUACUUUUUUCUUUAAGGAACUGACUCAGUUGGUGAAUUGUCAACAGCACGAUUCAAGCGUUUGGUACGUGGAUUGACAACACCUUAAAGUGCCAAUUAUUUUCUAUUUUUUUCCUCAUUAAUAACUUGUUUUUGGAUUAAAAUGAAGCCUCCUACUUUCGAGGGUUCUUCUGAGGCAUCAUGGAUGUAUGAAACCUGACUCCACCGCAGGCAGAUGCAAGUCUCAGGCUGGAUUGAAUGGCACUGAGGAUACAAGAUU